Molecule: long non-coding RNA, 629 nt
Filed under: Equus caballus (horse)
Lineage: Eukaryota; Metazoa; Chordata; Mammalia; Perissodactyla; Equidae
Description: lncRNA (ENSECAG00000044028.1)
Source: RNAcentral
GAGCAAAAAGAUGGAGCAGAGAGUAAGGAGGAGCAUGGUUCAGGAAGAGGCUGAAAGGUAGAAGGCAGACAAUUCAUUAAUUUAGUAAACAUUUACUGGGAACCUGCUAAAGCCCAACGUACGGAGAAAUCACGAAGUGGUAAAGAAUUUUUCUCUCAAGGAAUCAUUUAGUCUGGCAGAAGAUGGACACACACACAUUUGUAGAUAUAAUAUAAUAUAAUACAAUCAGUAUCGUAACAGCGGUCGGAACAAAAUGCUGUGGGAGCGCAAUAGGAGUAAUUAAUUCUGAUUGAGGAGGAACAGGAAGGAAGGAAUCGGCGAAGAUUGCAUGGAGUAAUUGACAUUUGAGCUGAGCCUUAAACCUAUUCCAGGCAACAGCUUGGAGAGAGGCACGAGAUGUAACAGUGACUAAAUGUACAAGUAUGACCCUUUCUGAAGUCAGAAGGGUGUGACAGAUGGCUCUUUAUGGACCCUUUCAGUUCCAGCCUCCUAUAUUUUUACAGCAGGCCAGAAGUCCCAGCAGAUGGAAGUGUUAUACGUUGGAUUAUUGGGAUGCUGAAAUGGGCCACCCACAUCCUCACUUCAGGAAGGAAGGAUUUGCUCCCCCAGCUGAUUCAGUGAUUGCCAGA